Molecule: ribosomal RNA, 851 nt
Filed under: uncultured bacterium
Lineage: Bacteria
Description: bacterial SSU rRNA
Rfam family: Bacterial small subunit ribosomal RNA
Source: RNAcentral
CGAACGCUGACGGCGGGCCUCAUACAUGCAAGUCGAGCGCGAAAGUCCGCAAGGAUGAGUAAAGCGGCGCACGGGUGAGUAACACGUGGGUAAUCUACCUCGAGGAUUGGAAUAACACGUCGAAAGAUGUGCUAAUGCCAAGUAAGCUUCACGAUUCAUAAUGUAUUGUGGAGGAAAGCUGGCGCAAGCAAGCGCCUUGAGAUGAGCCUGCGCUCCAUUAGUUUGUUGGUGAGGUAAUGGCUUACCAAGACUACGAUGGAUAACUGGUCUGAGAGGAUGAUCAGUCACACUGGAACUGAAACACGGUCCAGACUCCUACGGGAGGCAGCAGUAGGGAAUAUUGCGCAAUGGGAGAAAUCCUGACGCAGCCACGUCGUGUGGGUGAGGAAGGCCUUCGGGUCGUAAAGCCCUGUCGCUUGGGAAGAAACUAUAAUCGGGGAAAGUUCGGUUAUAUUGACGGUACCAAGAGAGGAAGCACCGGCUAACUCUGUGCCAGCAGCCGCGGUAAUACAGAGGGUGCAAGCGUUGUUCGGAAUUACUGGGCGUAAAGCGUUUGUAGGCGGUGCUGAGAGUCCUAGGUGAAAUCCCCAAGCUCAACUUGGGAACGGCCUGGGAGACCUCAGCACUAGAGUACUGAAGGGGUUGCUAGAAUUCCAUGUGUAGCGGUGAAAUGCGUAGAUAUAUGGAGGAAUACCUGUGGCGAAGGCGGGCAACUGGUCAGAGACUGACGCUGAGAAACGAAAGCGUGGGGAGCAAACAGGAUUAGAUACCCUGGUAGUCCACGCCGUAAACGAUGCAUACCAGUCGUGACUGGGAUUGACUCCGGUCGUGACGAAGCUAACGCAACGAGU